CAUGCACACAAACUUUCCAUUUCUACCUCUAGUAUUACUUUGCAUAAGCCCAUCCUAAACUCCAAACUACAAAGCGUAGAAGCAAGUUAAAAAAAAAAAAAAAAAAACUAAUCUAAAAUUUUUUAAAUUUGGCAGAUUUACCAAAGUAUCCUAAAUCUAAGCCACAGUUGUGGCAACAGAAGAAACAGCCAAUUGAGUUUGAGUGUUACUUUCAGUUUCAACACCGUUACUUUCUUGCCUCUCCUUCAAUUUACUCUCCUUCAAAGCAGACCUCCACUCAGUAAAAUUACCAAAAAGGACCUCCAUAUUCUCCAAUGUCCUCCCCUUCGUCUCUGGCAAAUAUAUAAAAAUGAAUAUCCAAGCCAUCAUUGCAAUUGCCAUGUAUAAGAAGAAGGCCCCACCUAUGGUUAUACCUUUGUACAAUGAAAUAAAAGUCGUAGAUACGACCCCACUCGUUACUCUGUUCACUGCCACUCCCAAGCUCGCUCCUUGCGCACGUAGCCUCAGCGGGAAUAUCUCAGAGUUGUAUACCCAUGUUACAGGGCCUAUCCCUAUUGAGAAGAACGCCACGUACGUUAAUACCGUCGUUAUGCACAGCACAACAGCCCACGUUAUUUUCUCGUGCGAAUGAUCAAUGAUUGUCAAUGAAAAUCCAAGCGCUGCUAAUGAAAAUAUCACCCCUACUAAACUACUUAAAAGCAAAGAUCGCCGUCCGACUCUGUCGAGCAAAAAUGUCACCACUAAAAUGAAGCUUGUUUUCACGAAUCCAACGGCUAUGGUCGCCAGUAACUUGCCAUUGUCUGAUGUGAUCCCAGCCUUCUCAAAAAUCCUUGGGCUGUAUAAAACGACAGCGUCUACUCCUGAUGCUUGCUGAAAGAAAUGGAUGCCGAUUCCGCAAACUAAGAUAUGACGAACCGACCGUGUAGGAUGAAGGAGUAAUUCUCGCCAU
RNAcentral lists this unclassified non-coding RNA (949 nucleotides) under Hevea brasiliensis (rubber tree). The record is from RNAcentral. Lineage: Eukaryota; Viridiplantae; Streptophyta; Magnoliopsida; Malpighiales; Euphorbiaceae.